Molecule: ribosomal RNA, 349 nt
Filed under: uncultured bacterium
Lineage: Bacteria
Description: bacterial SSU rRNA
Rfam family: Bacterial small subunit ribosomal RNA
Source: RNAcentral
AGAGUUUGAUCAUGGCUCAGGAUGAACGCUAGCUACAGGCUUAACACAUGCAAGUCGAGGGGCAGCAUGUUGGUUGCUUGCAACCAAUGAUGGCGACCGGCGCACGGGUGAGUAACGCGUAUCCAACCUACCCUUGUCCAUCGGAUAACCCGUCGAAAGGCGGCCUAACACGAUAUGCGGUUCUCAGCAGGCAUCUAACGAGAACGAAAUGUGAAGGAGAAGGAUGGGGAUGCGUCUGAUUAGCUUGUUGGCGGGUAACGGCCACCAAGGCGAUGAUCAGUAGGGGUUCUGGACGAGGAAGGUCCCCCACAUUGGAACUGAGACACGGUCCAAACUCCUACGGGAGGCA